UGUACCUGUUCAUUUGUUGUUUAGGACAGUAUUGGACGCAACUAUGUCUAAUUUUCUAAUAUUCCUUGGAGGUUUUAUAUUUUCAUUAAUAACCUUAAGCCAUGCAGAAAAUACUGCCAAAGAAAUCGCUGAAAUUUUGCGUCGUCUUGGUGAGUAAACUAAAUCUAUUGAAUUGAUAUUAUACUCUAAAUAUUUGACUUUCGAAUAUAUGAUCUAUUAAUAUGAUGAUGAAUGCCAAUUAAACGUCCAGCGGUAUAUUAAAUACAUUGUCAGGACAGGGACAUAUCAAUGUAUUGUCAACAUUUGACCCUGCUUUUUACCAAAUUGUCAUACUGAGUCGCAUUUUAAGGUGAUAGUUUACAAGGUAACUGACAACCGGAAGACUUGUCACCCUACCAGGAAACAUUAUCCGGACACUGAGUCGACCACUCUUUGCUCUUUCUUUUUGAAGCCACAAGCUAAGCGGAGAGGCAGCAAAUAUCAAUUUUAAAGUAUUUCGUUCGACAUGGCUGGAGUUCUAACCCAUGACGCUUCUGCACUCGAGGCGACCCCACUAGCACAAGACCAAAAUGUACUAUACUUUUCAAGAUAAAUUUAUUUUCUUAAUUAAUUGAAGAAUUUGAAAUAAAAAUUACAUAACUCUUAAAUAAUGCUCAAAGAUUUUCACACAAAUUACGUGUAUUUUAACAUUUUGUUUAUUAGAUGUGAAUUGAUCAUUAAAAAAAUUCAAAUGUUACUAAUAAAUGAAAUUGUCAAAGAGUUUUGUUUAAGAUAUACAAAGAAAGAAUUAAAAAUAACAUCGUUAGGCCAAUUAAAAUUAAUUGCUAGAUUUUCAUCCCCGCCCGCCCCUCUGAAAUCGUCCCGCCCCGAUUUUUUUUAUUUAACAAAAAUACGAUUUCCGGAUUUUGUUCAUGUCCGUUACCGGGAACCAUCGAUAAUUUCGUUUCAUUCAAAACUUCCUGUUUCAAAUUUCGUUUUUGUAUUUCUUCGAGUAAUCAAACGAAAAUGAUUAAGUCGACAUAUUCUGCUGCUCUAUGAUGACAACAUCAUCUUCCGAGAAUAGUGAUUGAUAACGAGAAGAGCAUGAAAUAUUCGUGUUACGCUGAAACGCAAAUUGCGGUAGUCACAAGUGAAUCGAAAACCGUGUUUUUUUCUUUAUUUAUACAAUGACUUUGUGACAGGAAAUGUGGACUGUGAAUGAUAUCCAAAGCGCAAGAAUCGUAGAACAAAUUGGUAAAAAAACAUGACUGGAUUAAACAAAUUGACACAAGCACGAACUUAUUUGAUUUAUGACCGUAUAUUGAAAAAAAAAGUCGACAAACACGCAUUUUAAUUAUAACAAACCCUUGGCUGUUGUUAUUUUGUUGACCAACAGCAAACACCCUCUGUAACUGUCCCAAUACCUUCAAUUUAGUCAUUAAACAACAACUACUUUUUGGUUAAGUUCAUGUUUUACAUCAUAAUUACUUUCAACACUGAGUUUACAUUUUAUUCUGUACUCACAAUACAGUUUGUACUUGUGUUGCAUACAAUUGUACCAAUACAUUUUAUUGAUUUUAUGGGGACUACAAACCAUUGCUUAGAAAGCAAAAUAAAUUUGGUGUAGGUAUAGUCCAACUGAAGAGAGCAUUUCUCUUCUUUUUGAUGUAUACUAUAAAUAGGUUUCUAAAGCGGCAAUUACCUGUAUAACAGUGGUUGCCAAUCAGGGAUUUUUAUUUAAGAGUUUAAAAAAUAGAGUAGAAUUCCUUAUACAGCAUGUAUAUACAUUAUACAAGCUUGUUUUCCACUAGCAUAUACCCCGUGGUAUGAAGAACUCGUGACGAGGGUAUCAUAUGAAAUAAAAUUUAAAAAAUAAAAUCCUUCCACCCGCCCCAUUUUUUUCAAAAAUUUGGAUGAAAAUCUACUAAUUAAUUUUAGUUGGCCUUAUGCAAAUGAAUUAUUGAAUUCAUUUGAUGUGUGUUUGAUUAUUCUUUGAUAACAGUCUUCUAAGGCAUAUGCUAUACUUUGAUAAACAGCAAUUGUUCUUAUAACCAUGCAAGUUGCUGUCACAUGUAUUUGAUAGACUUCCCGGACAAAUAGUCAAAGCCUUAAUUAAAAAAUAAACAUUUACAACAAAGUUAUGUCAAAUGCUGUUUUUUUCUUAUAGAAUAUGUUGAAAGCAAAGUUAAGACUCUUGAAGCAGAAAAUGAAAUACUGAGGGAUGAAAAUAUACAAAUCAAACACAUUUUAAAGGAAUAUAUUCUGCUACAUGACCGGACAGAUGGAGUUAGAGAUAAUAAUGUUAAUUUCCCUUCUUCAUAUGACUAAUCAAAUCAUACCGAAAUCAAUAAGGAAAAUGCUACAAAAGACGAGACCAGUAAUUAUUAUAGAACACA
RNAcentral lists this long non-coding RNA (2375 nucleotides) under Mytilus galloprovincialis (Mediterranean mussel). The record is from RNAcentral. Lineage: Eukaryota; Metazoa; Mollusca; Bivalvia; Mytilida; Mytilidae.